UACGUAGGGUGCGAGCGUUAAUCGGAAUUACUGGGCGUAAAGCGUGCGCAGGCGGUUGGUUAAGUCUGAUGUGAAAGCCCCGGGCUCAACCUGGGAAUGGCAUUGGAAACUGGCUGGCUAGAGUGCGGCAGAGGGGGGUGGAAUUCCGCGUGUAGCAGUGAAAUGCGUAGAGAUGCGGAGGAACACCGAUGGCGAAGGCAGCCCCCUGGGCUGACACUGACGCUGAGGCACGAAAGCGUGGGGAGCAAACAGG
This 253-nucleotide ribosomal RNA is filed under the name uncultured bacterium. RNAcentral's name for it is "partial 16S ribosomal RNA". It matches the Rfam family "Bacterial small subunit ribosomal RNA", at positions 524 to 776 of the family's 1533-position model. The record is from RNAcentral.